Molecule: long non-coding RNA, 483 nt
Filed under: Anser brachyrhynchus (Pink-footed goose)
Lineage: Eukaryota; Metazoa; Chordata; Aves; Anseriformes; Anatidae
Description: lncRNA (ENSABRG00000020964.1)
Source: RNAcentral
CAAACAAAUGACUUAGCUCAUGGGGGCCUGCUAAUGAGAAAGCUUUACUUCCCUUCCAUUCACUUAUCAGUGAGAUACGGUUCACCAUAAUGUUCAAAUUCGUAUUGAGGAGAAUGGCAAUGAAACUGUGUUAUUACCAACAUAAAUGCUAAAUUUGCCUUUUCAAUUACAGGCUCAUUCUUUCCAGAAUUAAAUACCAGCCACAGCAUAGAUCUGCUAGAGAAUAUACAUGGAACUCAGACCUACAGUUAUGAUGCUCUCCCCAGUUAUGAUGCUGUCCACAUGGAAGGUGGUGGAGAGCUGUUCUUACAAAACGUGUUACUGAUGGCUGUCAUUCCAAGAGCCUAUGGUUAUGGUGUAGAAAGACUUCUGGAAGCUGGUGAAAAUGGUACUCAGUCUAUACUAUGAAGCAUGUGAGUCUCACUUACUCAUCAAACUUCUGCAGCUGUUCUCAAUAAAUACCAUAAUUUAAUGCCUGUGUCA